CCUACGGGUGGCUGCAGUGGGGAAUUUUGCACAAUGGGGGAAACCCUGAUGCAGCAACGCCGCGUGAGUGAAGAAGGCCCUUGGGUUGUAAAGCUCUUUCGGCCGUGAAAAAGGGUAAGCGUGCUCAUACCACGUUUAUUUGAUGGUAGCGGAAGAAGAAGCACCUGCUAACUACGUGCCAGCAGCAGCGGUAAUACGUAGGGUGCAAGCGUUGUUCGGAAUUACUGGGCGUAAAGGGCGCGUAGGCGGGUUUGCAAGUCGUCUGUGAAAUCCCC
Molecule: ribosomal RNA, 275 nt
Filed under: uncultured bacterium
Lineage: Bacteria
Description: partial 16S ribosomal RNA
Rfam family: Bacterial small subunit ribosomal RNA
Source: RNAcentral